AUUGAACGCUGGCGGCAGGCCUAACACAUGCAAGUCGAACGGUAACAGGAAGAAGCUUGCUUCUUUGCUGACGAGUGGCGGACGGGUGAGUAAUGUCUGGGAAACUGCCUGAUGGAGGGGGAUAACUACUGGAAACGGUAGCUAAUACCGCAUAACGUCGCAAGACCAAAGAGGGGGACCUUCGGGCCUCUUGCCAUCGGAUGUGCCCAGAUGGGAUUAGCUAGUAGGUGGGGUAACGGCUCACCUAGGCGACGAUCCCUAGCUGGUCUGAGAGGAUGACCAGCCACACUGGAACUGAGACACGGUCCAGACUCCUACGGGAGGCAGCAGUGGGGAAUAUUGCACAAUGGGCGCAAGCCUGAUGCAGCCAUGCCGCGUGUAUGAAGAAGGCCUUCGGGUUGUAAAGUACUUUCAGCGGGGAGGAAGGGAGUAAAGUUAAUACCUUUGCUCAUUGACGUUACCCGCAGAAGAAGCACCGGCUAACUCCGUGCCAGCAGCCGCGGUAAUACGGAGGGUGCGAGCGUUAAUCGGAAUUACUGGGCGUAAAGCGCACGCAGGCGGUUUGUUAAGUCAGAUGUGAAAUCCCCGGGCUCAACCUGGGAACUGCAUCUGAUACUGGCAAGCUUGAGUCUCGUAGAGGGGGGUAGAAUUCCAGGUGUAGCGGUGAAAUGCGUAGAGAUCUGGAGGAAUACCGGUGGCGAAGGCGGCCCCCUGGACGAAGACUGACGCUCAGGUGCGAAAGCGUGGGGAGCAAACAGGAUUAGAUACCCUGGUAGUCCACGCCGUAAACGGUGUCGACUUGGAGGUUGUGCCCUUGAGGCGUGGCUUCCGGAGCUAACGCGUUAAGUCGACCGCCUGGGGAGUACGGCCGCAAGGUUAAAACUCAAAUGAAUUGACGGGGGCCCGCACAAGCGGUGGAGCAUGUGGUUUAAUUCGAUGCAACGCGAAGAACCUUACCUGGUCUUGACAUCCACGGAAGUUUUCAGAGAUGAGAAUGUGCCUUCGGGAACCGUGAGACAGGUGCUGCAUGGCUGUCGUCAGCUCGUGUUGUGAAAUGUUGGGUUAAGUCCCGCAACGAGCGCAACCCUUAUCCUUUGUUGCCAGCGGUCCGGCCGGGAACUCAAAGGAGACUGCCAGUGAUAAACUGGAGGAAGGUGGGGAUGACGUCAAGUCAUCAUGGCCCUUACGACCAGGGCUACACACGUGCUACAAUGGCGCAUACAAAGAGAAGCGACCUCGCGAGAGCAAGCGGACCUCAUAAAGUGCGUCGUAGUCCGGAUUGGAGUCUGCAACUCGACUCCAUGAAGUCGGAAUCGCUAGUAAUCGUGGAUCAGAAUGCCACGGUGAAUACGUUCCCGGGCCU
Molecule: ribosomal RNA, 1363 nt
Filed under: uncultured bacterium
Lineage: Bacteria
Description: bacterial SSU rRNA
Rfam family: Bacterial small subunit ribosomal RNA
Source: RNAcentral